UCAUUUGCUAUGUCAAAAAUUGAGUCUCAAUAUGAGGCUAAAAACCCGGUGCAAAACUUUUCGGUUGGAAAAUUAUUUAUGAUCAUAUCUUGACUAAAUUUGAUCCCUUUGACACCUUCCUUCAUCCAAUUGGCUUCUAGAACUCUCGGAUCUUCAUUUCAAGUUUCGACACAACUUUUGAUUAAUUGCAUUUUAAUCCUCGAACUUUGGAUCUCUUACAUUUUGGUCAUUUCAUCAAAUUUCGCUAACUUUUGCCUAUUUCCUUCCAUUGGCCUCUUUUAGCUUUUGUUUUCU
RNAcentral lists this long non-coding RNA (294 nucleotides) under Olea europaea (common olive). Its description in RNAcentral is "long non-coding RNA (OEUR_LNC005894)". Lineage: Eukaryota; Viridiplantae; Streptophyta; Magnoliopsida; Lamiales; Oleaceae. The record is from RNAcentral.